AGUGAACGCUGGCGGUAGGCCUAACACAUGCAAGUCGAACGGCAGCACAGUAAGAGCUUGCUCUUACGGGUGGCGAGUGGCGGACGGGUGAGGAAUACAUCGGAAUCUACUUUUUCGUGGGGGAUAACGUAGGGAAACUUACGCUAAUACCGCAUACGACCUACGGGUGAAAGCAGGGGAUCUUCGGACCUUGCGCGAUUGAAUGAGCCGAUGUCGGAUUAGCUAGUUGGCGGGGUAAAGGCCCACCAAGGCGACGAUCCGUAGCUGGUCUGAGAGGAUGAUCAGCCACACUGGAACUGGGACACGGUCCAGACUCCUACGGGAGGCAGCAGUGGGGAAUAUUGGACAAUGGGCGCAAGCCUGAGCCAGCCAUACCGCGUGGGUGAAGAAGGCCUUCGGGUUUUAAAGUCCUUUUGUUGGGAAGGAAAAGCAGCAGGUUAAUACCCCGCUGUUCUGACGGUACCCAAAGAAUAAGCACCGGCUAACUUCGUG
RNAcentral lists this ribosomal RNA (492 nucleotides) under uncultured bacterium. Its description in RNAcentral is "partial 16S ribosomal RNA". It matches the Rfam family "Bacterial small subunit ribosomal RNA", at positions 29 to 507 of the family's 1533-position model. The record is from RNAcentral.